GGGGUUGUGGCUCAGUGUUAGAGCACUUGCCUAGCACGUGUGAGGCACUGGGUUUGAUCCCCAGCACCA
RNAcentral lists this transfer RNA (69 nucleotides) under Ictidomys tridecemlineatus (thirteen-lined ground squirrel). RNAcentral's name for it is "Spermophilus tridecemlineatus (thirteen-lined ground squirrel) tRNA". It matches the Rfam family "tRNA". Rfam says of the family: Transfer RNA (tRNA) molecules are approximately 80 nucleotides in length. Their secondary structure includes four short double-helical elements and three loops (D, anti-codon, and T loops). The record is from Rfam by way of RNAcentral. Lineage: Eukaryota; Metazoa; Chordata; Mammalia; Rodentia; Sciuridae.